UCCCCUGCUUCCUUGUUUACUCCAGGUGCCUCACCUGAGGACAGCACGGUGGAGCUUAUCCAAAAUGGCGUCUCCACAUCGGCCCACUUCCCCUUCCGGAUGUUCACCUUCACCAGGAACUCCUCCAGUGUCUUCCUGCACUGUCAGGUCCACCUGUGUCUGCUGCACCUCAACGACUGCACCACUCACUGCUACACUGGGUACACCACAGAGGACGCAGGGAUGUGUCCCUUCCACGACAGCGCUGCCAUUUCCAUGGGACCUCUGGUUUUGAAUGGAAGAGACAGAGAUAUGUGAUUCCAAUACCAGAGAGAGUGAGUGGAGCCCCAGGUCAGAUUGGCUCCCGGUGACCCUGUGCUCUCUGUCCUCCUGACUGUCCACAACACUGAUAUAGGACCAAUCUGUCUCAUGUCAAACCCAGGCUUGGGUCUGUGCGGUUCCAAAAUAAUCUGCAUAUGACUGAAGAGACCAUGUAGAGUGUGUGUUGAGGUGUACAAUGAAGUAGAUCAACCUUCACAGUGAUAUUGUUAAUGGUGAUAUAGUGAUAAUGUUUGAGUGAAGGGACAUAGUGUGUUUGAGGUUGUACGAUGAAGUCGAUAAACUAUACAGUAAUAUUGUGAAUAUUGUUAAUUUAUCGUUUGAUUUAGUGCAAUUCCCCCCUGAAAAUUAAAAUGUGUUUGAUAGAGGAAUUUAUUCUAUGUGUCGUUAACCAAUUCAAUUAAAACAAAGCAAACACUCUGUCCGUUUCUAAGAAUUUGUAAGGUUCUUAUUUGCCCAAAUGGACAGAGACCAGCCACCAAAUUAAUCAAAUAGCGUUUAUUCUCGAGAGCUCUGACGUGCAUAUACAAAACCGUACUUUUUAUCCCUUCUCUUAAACUAACGCACAUACAUUACACACUACAUUUGGAUUAUCCCCUGAAGUCUCACCACAGUUUAUUACCACUCAGUGACAGUUCCAGUCCCUCCAAGAUACGGAAACC
Non-coding RNA from Salvelinus sp. IW2-2015, 980 nucleotides. NCBI's taxonomy places the organism in Eukaryota, Metazoa, Chordata, Actinopteri, Salmoniformes, Salmonidae. The record is from RefSeq and is a predicted model, not a curated record.